AAUCUGUGGUUGGGGCAUUUUUUAGUCAACAUUUUGAAGCGUUCUCAUGCCUCAUAGAAACUUUCUUCCUCCAUUUGUCUGAAGACAACAAUCUCUCUUCUUAGUUG
Molecule: small nucleolar RNA, 107 nt
Organism: Gossypium raimondii (Peruvian cotton)
Lineage: Eukaryota; Viridiplantae; Streptophyta; Magnoliopsida; Malvales; Malvaceae
Rfam family: Plant small nucleolar RNA R71
About the family: R71 is a member of the C/D box family of snoRNAs containing the C (UGAUGA) and D (CUGA) box motifs. Multiple nearly identical copies of this snoRNA have been identified in Arabidopsis, and it is thought to function as a 2'-O-ribose methylation guide for 18S ribosomal RNA.
Source: Rfam